GACGAACGCUGGCGGCGUGCCUAAUACAUGCAAGUCGAGCGAAUUUUUGGGAGCUUGCUCCCAAAAAUUAGCGGCGGACGGGUGAGUAACACGUGGGCAACCUGCCUGUAAGACUGGGAUAACUUCGGGAAACCGGAGCUAAUACCAGAUAAUUCUUAUCAACUCAUGUUGAUAAGCUGAAAGACGGUUUCGGCUGUCACUUACAGAUGGGCCCGCGGCGCAUUAGCUAGUUGGUGAGGUAACGGCUCACCAAGGCAACGAUGCGUAGCCGACCUGAGAGGGUGAUCGCCACACUGGGACUGAGACACGGCCCAGACUCCUACGGGAGGCAGCAGUAGGGAAUCUUCCGCAAUGGACGAAAGUCUGACGGAGCAACGCCGCGUGAGUGAUGAAGGUUUUCGGAUCGUAAAACUCUGUUGUUAGGGAAGAACAAGUACGAGAGUAACUGCUCGUACCUUGACGGUACCUAACCAGAAAGCCACGGCUAACUACGUGCCAGCAGCCGCAGUAAAAC
Molecule: ribosomal RNA, 514 nt
Filed under: uncultured bacterium
Lineage: Bacteria
Description: bacterial SSU rRNA
Rfam family: Bacterial small subunit ribosomal RNA
Source: RNAcentral